Molecule: ribosomal RNA, 505 nt
Filed under: uncultured Glomus
Lineage: Eukaryota; Fungi; Glomeromycota; Glomeromycetes; Glomerales; Glomeraceae
Description: SSU rRNA
Rfam family: Eukaryotic small subunit ribosomal RNA
Source: RNAcentral
AGCAGCCGCGGUAAUUCCAGCUCCAAUAGCGUAUAUUAAAGUUGUUGCAGUUAAAAAGCUCGUAGUUGAAUUUCGGGGAUCAAGGGAUCGGUCAUGCCUUGGUAUGUACUGGUCUUAUUGGUUCUCACCUUCUAAAGAACCAUGAUGUCAUUCAUUUGAUGUUAUGGGGAAUUAGGACUGUUACCUUGAAAAAACUGAGUGUUUAAAGCAAGCUUACGCUUGAAUACAUUAGCAUGGAAUAAUGAAUAAGACAUCAGAUUCUAUUUUGUUGGUUUCUAGGAUCGAUGUAAUGAUUAAUAGGGAUAGUUGGGGGCAUUAGUAUUCAAUUGUCAGAGGUGAAAUUCUUGGAUUUAUUGAAGACUAACUACUGCGAAAGCAUUUGCCAAGGAUGUUUUCAUUAAUCAAGAACGAAAGUUAGGGGAUCGAAGACGAUCAGAUACCGUCGUAGUCUUAACCAUAAACUAUGCCGACUAGGGAUUCGGAUGAUGUUAAUUUUUAAUGUACU